Molecule: unclassified non-coding RNA, 2330 nt
Filed under: Patiria miniata (bat star)
Lineage: Eukaryota; Metazoa; Echinodermata; Asteroidea; Valvatida; Asterinidae
Description: sialidase-3-like, transcript variant X3
Source: RNAcentral
AUGUACUAAUGCAUGCGGGAUGAUAUGCAUGUGUACUGUGUGUCGGUACUGUGUAUACGGCCGGUGCGCGCAUGCUGGCAGUGUGGUACGUAAGUACAGUCAAUCAUCAGCGUUGCCCACAAAUAAUUUGCACUCAACAUUUGCCUGCAUGAACAUGUACACCGCACCAUGACAAUGUGGACGUUUUCCUGUUGCUAACAUCCGUUUUUGACACUCAGCUAGCUAGCGUUCAUACUUGGAGUUUUUGACCAGGCAUAUUCCGUGCACGACGUCAGGCGGCCGCAAUGGAGGCUGACAAGAGGUUAGACGUGAAGGCUCCACCGUUGACAGAAAUAUUUGGUCAAGGGGAUCAUGGUUACAAUACAUUUAGAAUUCCUGCUAUUGUCUACAAUCGCCGGACUUUACUAGCUUUUUGUGAAGCUAGGAAGAGUUCAUUCCGGGACUGGGGAAGCAUGGAUUUGGUUCUGCGGAGGGGCAUAUUGAAAGAUGAUGAAGUGAUAUGGGGCGAUAUUCAAGUUAUAGCUUCAAUGCCUGAAUACAGAACCAUGAACCCUGUGCCCAUAGUCAACAAAAGAACCAACAGCAUCGUUCUUGUCUUCGUCGCAUUCCCUCAGGACCUCUCGGAAGCAGAUCUCAUUAAAGGACAGGAGUACCAGCAGAAAGUGCUGGUAACCAAAUCCAGAGACAAUGGGUUAACAUGGAGUGAGCCACGCGACGUCUCAGAGACAACGCUGGGAAUGAUGGACCCACGGCCUCAUAUAUACGCAUCAGGUCCUGGACAUGGAAUUCAGUUGACUUCAGGACGGCUGGUUGUUCCUGGUAGCGUAUUCUGGAAACCACCACAUGAGACUGGUUUCCUCUCAGAGAUCAAACACAAGAUUCUGGAGUUCUUUGACUGCUUCUACAAUGCACAAAGCCGUUCCAUGGUGAUAUACAGCGAUGAUGGUGGAGAAACGUGGGAGCAGGGAGGUGGGGUACCAGCUGCCUUCGACCAGGAAGGGCAACUAGUAAAUGCCAAUGAAUGCCAGAUAGUAGAAUUUGAUGAUGGCAGAGCCUACAUCAACAGCAGGACCCUAGGCGUUCAAACGCCACGGCAACAAGCUUUUAGCCAAGAUGGCUGCUUGACCUUUAACCCUGGUGAGCUAGCCACUCAGCUUCCAGAGCCUGGACACACGCUGACCAAAUGGAUUCCUUCAGUUCGUAACUUUGGUGGCUGUCAGGCCAGUAUUCUUGGUUUCCGUGCUCCCAGUAGUGUGCCGCCUGAUGCCUAUGACAUGACCUCAUGGGUGCUAUUCUCUAACCCUGCAAGCACUGAGACCCGUGUCAACAUGUCGGUGCGCCUCAGUCGCAAUGGCUGCCGGACGUGGAGCGCCCCCUGGCAGCUGAACUCUGGGGCCAGUGCAUACUCAGACCUGGUCGGUUACGAGACCCGCACCAGUGACAGGGUACCAGUCUUGAACUUUGCCUGCCUGUACGAGUGCGGUAGUUUACACCCGUAUGAAAGAAUUGUAUUCCAAACGUUCACGCUAGAGAAAAUGAUGCAAGGUGUUGGCAUGGAGACCAAAGCUGAACCCACUCAAGAUAUCCCAGAAAGUGCACUAGAGACGUAAGAAUAUUUGUGUUAAUAUAUUUAAAAAAAAGUCUGUAUGUUAAUAUUAAGAAAUUGUGAUAUCUUCCAGUUUAGUAAAUUGUAUGAAAGUACCAACAUAUCAUUCAGUAAAUUUCAAUAAACUUUAGAAAUUCAUUGGGAAUUUUCUAAAAUGUGAGGGAACUGAUUUUUUUAAUGUGCCAAUUUUUCUAGUGUGUAUUUGGCAGCAGAUCACUGGAUAAUCUUACCUAUUUUACUUCAUGUGUAUAGUGAUAUCCUCUCAUUUGAGCCAAUUGGACCAUUUCAAAACCCCAGGCAAAAACACAUUAAAGCCUUUUCAUUAUGUGUAAAGGGUUGUAUACAGUGCCAUACAGCUUAAUAUGUCCUAGGCUUUCUCAUUGAAGAAAAAAGCUUUUCCAGAUCAUUUAGCGAAAUUUAACAGAACAUUUCCGUAACUUUCCAUGGAAAGUUUCCAAAGUUAUCUUGAAAUUUGUGACCCAUAGCAACACUAGUCUUAUUGGCAUUAGAUGUUUGCCCCUCUGCUCUCUUGAUCUUACAGAGAUAAAACGGAUUGUUUUCACUGCAUAAAGACGGAGAGCUUGGCCAGAAACCUUUAUACGUUUUAAAUCAAAUUUCUGAUAACAUUCCAGGUUCAUGUUUUUUUACUUUCAUGUACAGAUGUUUGAUUUUUGAGUGGUCGGGCACAACCCAACUACUGUCUGGAUUUGUUACGAUUAAUCUU